CGGUGGUACGCGUGAGAUUGCGAAAGUCGGCCAUCUCUUUGGGCAGUCGACCCCACGGCAGUUUGCCGGCUCGACCUAUGGCGCGCGAAGCGGUCAUGGCCACCACGAUCGAAAACGGCUGCGCGGCCGCGCUCGACGCCGGUUUCGCGACCGGAUCGCCCGCUGCUGCCGGGCCUGUGGUCACCGACGCCAACGGCAGGACCGUCUUGUUUUGCUCGGUCAUGAUGCCGUUGCUAUUGGGCCUCUUUUGUCUCUUUGGUGGGUGUGUAUGCGUAUGUGCGUGCGUGUGUCGCUCCCUUUUUCUUGACCCAAAUGGCAAUGGCGCGGCCGCGCGGAUCGCACAAUGGAGAAGGAAGGCACAAGUACACACACGCGUGUUUUAUUGCGUAAAAAUAAAAAUAAAAGAGAGCGAGCCGAGACGCAACGGGAUAGGCGGAUGCGCUCUGCGUGGCGAC
Molecule: long non-coding RNA, 455 nt
Filed under: Pandoravirus neocaledonia
Description: hypothetical ncRNA
Source: RNAcentral